RNAcentral lists this long non-coding RNA (18266 nucleotides) under Triticum aestivum (bread wheat). RNAcentral's name for it is "long non-coding RNA (TAES_LNC010930)". The record is from RNAcentral. Lineage: Eukaryota; Viridiplantae; Streptophyta; Magnoliopsida; Poales; Poaceae.
CGCGUGCUCCUGCCUCUCGUGGCUGGCUGUAAUGUCGUGGAGGCCUCACCGCCCCCUACUACUCCCACCGCUAGCCCAGGGUAUCCCUCUACUCACCCACACCCCCUGUUAUUCUGUGGCGACAGCAGCAGAACCAGUGAACCCUCAUACUCCUCUCCGCGUGGGCAUCCACUGCUGCGUCUUCCCCGGCUCCUUGUCGUCCCCUUCCUAGGCCUCGCCGUCGUCCACCGGCUUGGUGCUCUUGGCACGGCGUGGUAAAUGUGGUCAACGACCGACUUCCACAGAAGAGUAUUGUACAUGGAGAGGCUGACAGCUGGGUCCAAGGCCACAUCCCAGUUUUUUGUGAUUUGCCAAGUAAGUCGCUUUGUCAGGCCUGUUGGGCUGCAAAUCUUUCAAGACGAGGAGAGUGAGGGAGUCCUGGACUAGGGGGUGUCCGGAUAGCCGAACUAUCAUCAUCGGCCGGACUCCAAGACUAUGAAGAUAGAAGAUUGAAGCCUUCGUCCCGUGUCCGGAUGGGACUUUCCUUGGCGUGGAAGGCAAGCUUGGCGAUGUGGAUAUGUAGAUCUCCUACCAUUGUAACCGACUCUGUGUAACCCUAGCCCUCUCCGGUGUCUAUAUAAACCGGAUGGUUUUAGUCCGUAGGACAACGACAAUAACAACAAUCAUACCAUAGGCUAGCUUCUAGGGUUUAGCCUCCUUGAUCUCGUGGUAGAUCUACUCUUGUAAUACCCACAUCAUCAAUAUCAAUCAAGCAGGACGUAGGGUUUUACCUCCAUCAAGAGGGCCCGAACCUGGGUAAAACAUCGUGUCCCUUGUCUCCUGUUACCAUCCGCCUAGACGCACAGUUCGGGACCCCCUACCCGAGAUCCGCCGGUUUUGACACCGACAUUGGUGCUUUCAUUGAGAGUUCCUCUGUGUCGUCACCAAUAGGCUUGAUGGCUCCUUCGAUCAUCAACAACGACACGGUCCAGGGUGAGACUUUUCUCCCCGGACAGAUCUUCGUAUUCGGCGGCUUUGCACUGCAGGCCAAUUCAUUUGGCCAUCUGGAGCAGAUCAAAAGCUACGCCCCUGGCCGUCAGGUCAGAUUUGGAAGUCUGAACUUCACGGCUGACAUCCGCGGAGACUUGAUCUUCAAUGGAUUCGAGCCACAACCGAGCGCGCUGCACUGUCACGAUGGGCAUGAUUUAGCUCUGCUGCCGGACAGUGCUCUGGAGGCCGCACACGAGUCCGCUCCGACCCUCGAUUCGGAGCCGGCUGUGCAGAUUGAGGACGGGUGGUUAGACACCGCCUCAGGGGCUACAACCUCUACGGCGAUAGAGCCGAAUACUGACUUUGUCCCUUUUGAAGCUCGUGACUCCCAGGUGCCGGACCCCUUGCCGGACUCUGAACCUCCCGCGCCCCCUCCAAUCGAAUCCGAUUGGGCGUCGAUCAUGGAGUUCACCGCUGCGGACAUCUUUCAACACUCACCUUUUGGCGACGUCCUGAGUUCGCUAAAACAUCUCUCGUUAUCAGGAGAGCCCUGGCCGGACUACGGUCAGGACGGUUGGGAUGCUGACGACGAAAUUCAAGGCCCACCCACCACCCACUUAGUAGCCACUGUCGAUGAAUUAACCGACAUGCUAGACUUCGACUCCAAAGACAUCGACGACGAUGCCGGAGACGAUCAAGAACCAGCGCCUGCUGGGCACUGGAAAACCACCUCAACUCACGACGUAUACAUGGUGGAUACACCAAAAGGAAGCGAUAACGAGGAACAACGGGACGCGGCGAAGGAUAAUUCCCCCAAAAAACAACAAAAACGGCGACACAAGCGCCGCCCGAAGUCCCGCCUCAAUAACAACGGCACCCACACUGACCCAGCCGUAGAGCAGGGCGAACCAGUGGACGAGCAACCCAUUCCCGGCGAAAACAAUAGUCCAGACGAUCUCACGCCGGACACAUCACCAGAGCAUAAGAACCUUCACAGAAGGCUUGUCGCCACUGCAAGGAGUUUGAAGAAGCAAAAGCGGAAGCUCAAAACGGCGGAAGACGUACUCAAAAUGAGAGGGACCAAAGUACUCAAGACCGCAGAUAAAUACGGUGAUAGUCACCACGCAAAGAGCUACUCGAAGCACAAACUGUUGCCCGAAUUUGACGAGGAGGCCGUAGAGCCCCCACAGUCAAAAAAGAAAGAGGCCGCCUGGCCGGAUAGAUGACCAGAUAACAGGCUAAGAGCGGCAAGCGGCGCCGCACAUAAUCCGGCACACUUUCCAAAUAAGGAUCCUAGCAAAAAGGAUGGCCCAGUCAGGUCCAUCUAUGGGCCAAAAAAGAAGGCUCCAGGAGGCAACACAACCCACCGAGUGUUCGAAGAUAACGGCACACCUAAUUACAGGGGCGCCACACACCCACUAUGCUUCACUGACGAGGUACUGGAUCAUGAAUUUCCAGCAGGAUUCAAGCCCGUAAACAUAGAGGCAUAUGACGGAACAAUAGACCCCGGAGUCUGGAUUGAGGAUUAUAUCCUACACAUACAUAUGGCUAGAGGAGAUGAUCUCCACGCCAUAAAAUACCUACCCCUCAAGCUUAAAGGGCCAGCUCGGCAUUGGCUCAAAAGCCUCCCAGAAAAUACCAUUGGAAGUUGGGAAGAGCUUGAGGAUGCGUUUAGAGCAAAUUUUCAGGGAACUUAUGUCCGCCCUCCGGACGCAGACGAUUUAAGUCACAUAACUCAACAGUCCAGGGAGUCAGCACGCAAAUUCUGGAACAGGUUCCUCACCAAAAAGAACCAAAUAGUCGACUGUCCGGACGCCGAAGCCUUAGCAGCCUUUAAACAUAACGUCCGAGACGAAUGGCUCGCCAGACACCUCGGCCAGGAAAAACCUAGAACAAUGGCCGCACUAACAAGCCUCAUGACCCGUUUUUGCGCGGGGGAAGAUAGCUGGCUAGCAAGAUGCAGCACCAGCGACCCGAGUACAUCCGAGGUCAGGGAUGGAAAUGGGAAAUCACGAUGCAGAAAAGAUCAGCGCAGGAAUAAGGAAAGCGGCCCAAACAGCACGGCGGUUAACGCCGGAUUCAAAAAGCUCUCGGCCGAACAACAAAACAAUGCCCCUUAAGGACAAUAGUGACGAGCUAUCCAACCUAAACAAAAUCAUGGAUAUGAUAUGUCAAAUCCACAGUAACCCCGGGAAGCCUGCAAACCAUACCCACAGAGAUUGUUGGGUCUUCAAGCAGUCCGGCCGACUUAACGCCGAACACAAGGGGCUCGACACACCAAGCGAAGACGAUGACGAAUCCCACAAGCAGCAGACCGGAGCACAGAAGACUUUUCCACUAGAGGUCAAAACAGUGAACUCACUUCAUGUGAUAAAUUGUGCGGAAGCGAUAUAAACCUGCUAUACCAGGACACCAUCCGCAUAAUGGGGAUAGACCCUACCAAAAUUCGCCAUAGCAACACUUUCUUCAAAGGAGUGGCGCCAGGCCCUUAUGCCAAGUGUACAGGCUCUGUACUACUAAAAGCUGUGUUCGGUUCACCCGACAAAUUCCGUCGCGAAAAGCUAAUCUUCCAUAUCGCCCCAUUCAAAAGUGGCCAUCAAGCACUACUGGGACGCGAAGCUUUCGCCCGCUUUAACGCAAUACCACAUUUACGCGUCUCUUACACUCAAAAUGCCCGGUCCACGCGGCAUCAUCCCAUUAAAGGGAAACUCCGAGUGUUCCUCGACCACGAAAAACGUGAGACUGCCUUGACAGCCGCACAUUAAUCCAACCUUGCUGAUCAAAGCCCCUAAAAACAGGUCAUUUAGACCUCGGACACGGUUAGGCGAGUCCGACAUAAAUAAACAAGGGGCUUCCCAGCCGCAUACCUCUUUACAAGGGGCUGCACGUAUAAACAAUGAGAGCCACUAAAGCUCAAUCUUUCCAAAUCAUACUCUGUUUUAAAUACAUCUUUCGCACGAUAUUUUUUCCAAACUAAGUUCUUCUCUUUUACAGAUGAAUCACGUGCUACACCCGUCCAGGAUACAGCACAACGGAGACACAGGUGCAGACGUGUAGCAGGGACCCGUUACAAGGAUUCUUUUCAGAUUAAGACCCUGCGUAAACCUUUCUUACUGUCUCUUUUGUUACUCAUCCCCCGGUUUCCUACCAUAACCGAGGAGGAGGCUGGCGUUUUGGCAUCGACCGCGUCAGAAGUUUUCACCUGUGCCUGGACAUUAGGGGCUUAGGGCACUGUUCUGCCCGUUAUCAUAAAGUCCGAAUACCUUAGGGAGUGUUCGGCGUCUCGAGUUAGGCCUUAUAUGCAUCAGCUCCGAAUCAUGUCUUUGGUCAAAUGUUGGGUUUGCCCGGCUCCUGUGUUUUGCUGCCUUACAUUCUGCUCCAUCGGCUAACGCGGCACCAGGAGAACUACUGCGAUUGUGCCCCGGUUCGGCCGGGCGAGCACCUCAGUAGAGAAAGCCGAAAACUGACUGUCAUGAUACAGCGAGAGACUGGUCAACCACUCGAUCGACUAUUGGAAUGUUUAGAAUUCCUCCACUUUGAUGAAGGACCGCUUCCCGGUCAGGCACACACGCGCCCCGAGUUUGGAGAGCGCGGUGCCUCUAGGGGCUAUAUCGUAGCCCCACCAUCGAGCUCCUAUGGCUAAGUGAAAGUGAUAAAGCAUUAUAGUCCGGUUGCCUAGUUUUCUAUGCUAUCACCUCCUUCAAAGGACCAAGACAUUGGAUUAAGUGUGAAAAUGCACUUUUUUUUGCAAACACCCCCGCACUAUGUGCGUGGGGGCUGAAGCCAAAGACUGCCAUCUUUCAGGUUAUAAAUACAUAUAUAUUAACGGGCGCACAUGAGAUAUUUCAAUACUUGAACGCACAAGUAUAAAAAGUCGUUAUAUUAUAAAUAUGAUCUCACAAAUCAUACACGUCAUUUGAACAUGACAUUUUUCGAGCACUGCGACUCUAUUAAACGAGCGCCCUGCAGGACUUCCUCAAAAUAGUGCUCGGUGGGUAAUCGGCUCUCGUCCGAACCCCGGGACGCAACAUCGGUGGCAUUCAUAUCCACCCAGUAUGUCUUAACACGGGCAAGAGCCAUCCGUGCACCCUCUAUGCAGGCCAACUGCUUCAUCGCCUUGAUAUGCGGCACCGCCCCAAGGAAUUGCUGCAAUAAACCAAAAUAACUCUUCGGCUUGGGCCUUUCUGGCCACAGAUGAGCCACCACAUCCGUCAUGGCUAGUCCGGACAAUCCAUUUAGCUCAGCCCACUCAACUAACUGAUCGGUCAACGGCAGUGGACGCUCCAGACUAUGGAAUUGAGACCAAAACAGCUCUUCCAUUUCAUGAUCCUUCUGACUUCGGAAGUGCCGAACUGCGUUCGCCACACUCGCCGCCAAAUCCAGAUAAGAAUCCUCCGCACUCCACAACUGGCCCAACUAAGCAUACUUCGGAUCCGUGAAUUUCCUACGCAAUAGAAAGGGCUUUCCAGCCACAAUGUCUCCGUCCUGACGCAGUUCCUCCUUUAUAGCCCACAUUGCAGAACGAGCAUCCUUGGCUUCGGCGGUGGCCUUCUUCAGGCCCUCUUGCUCCGCUUGGCGUUCUCUUUCAAGAACAUCAUAGCGGUCGGUAGCAUCUUUUAAUUUCACGGCCAUUACGGCCAUUUCCUCCCUGCUUCGGCAAUGAGCAGCCUUCUCGGCUUUUAGCUCCUCCGCUGCCUUCAACGCAGCCACAUCACUUUUUCUGGCUUGGUCCUUGGCUCGAGCAAGCUCCGCCCAAAGGUCUUCCACAGCAGCGACACCAUCUGCAUCAAGCAUACAUGUUGUAAGGAGUGGGCGUCAGCUCCCUUACCAGGUGACCGCGGAAACACCCCUUACCUUGUGACUCGUCAAGUCGUUUAUUGACCAGCGUGAUGUUCGCAUCCGCAACACCGAGUUGCCGCUUCAGUUCGGCAACUCUAUCAGUCCGGCUGGCCACCGAACGCUCUGCCACCUGCAUAGGAAAGGUGACAUUUCGUAUCUGAGAUUAUGAUCCUCGGCACGCUGUCGCUUUCGACAACAUACCGAGUCUCAGGGGCUACUAUCUAUACAGGGCGCACCCUAUGUGCAACACUAUCAAAAGGUAUGUCAUUUUUUUUGCGUACCUCAAACCCCGUCAGUAAACUUCUGACGGCCUCAUGUAACCCGCUUUUGGCGGAUGAGAUCCUUUCAAUCACCGCACUCAUUAAUGCACGGUGAUCUUCUGAGAGAGACACCCUCUCGAGCAAACCCUGCAGCUCCACCGGCCGCACUCCAGUGGGUGCUGAACUCCCAGGCCCCGCCGGACUCGGGGAGACCCUCCGUGACGACACCUCAGGGUCGUCCGCCCCUCCUGAUGGGACAGCAAAUGGAGGCGUUUCGCUCUCCAUCAUCUCCGGACGAAGGUCCCCCGAGGAUGAGCUCUGCUGGGAAGGGCUGAGAUCUGAACUACAAGGUAAAAACUUUGGUUAUCCUUAGAAAUAAAAUAGGGAUGCCCUUUAUUAUAAAAACUUCUCUUUUUUCUACUUACGGCUCGCUGGAGGGCUGAUUCCUUUGGGGAGACUGUACGGCCGGGACUCCUCCCGGCACAGGACCUUCUGGUGCAGAUUUCUUUCCCCGCUUCGAGGCUUUGGCCUCCGGGUUUUCGGAAGCGGUCCUCUUCUCCCCCUGGAGGGAGAGAUUCUUGAUUCCCCCCUUACUGAGAGCCUCCUUAACAGAGGUGGUAGUUUCCCUGUUCCCCCCUUCGCCUUCCUUCGAAGGCGCAACCUCCAACAUUUUGAUUAACACGGGAUCCGGCGUGGUCUCAGGGAGGGGGCCGGACACCGUAUCAGUUUUGCUUGCACUAUCCACUCCUGUUCAAGGGAUAGUUGGUUAAAAGGCCAAUCCAUGAUAAAUAAAUGGAUGAUGUGUCCGGUCACAGGGCUACUUACUUGAAUAUCCGGGCGAUUGCAGCUUAGGCCAGCGUCCUCGGUCAAGUCCGGACACACUUCUUGUGAUCUGAAGAACAGUUUGUACAUCUCCACGGGUUUUGUACCCAUAAAGUGUUGGAGAGCUCGUGGUCCCUCCGGAUUGAAUUCCAACAGACGAAGAGGGCGACGUUUGCAGGGCAGAAGACGCCGAAUCAGCAUAACCUGCGUCACUACGACCAGAUUGAUCUCCCUCUCUUGGAGAUCUCGAAUCCGGCCCUGCAAUAGGGUACGUCCUUGGACGGCCCCAGUCGAACCCUUUGUUGACCCACGAUGUUAGCCGUGGUGGAGGGCCCGGGCGAAAGGCGGGCGGCGGCCUCUGCCUGCUGCCCCUGGGAGCGGUGAUAUAGAACCACUCCUGUUGCCACAAACCGAGCUCCUCCUGAAAAGAGCCCUCGGGCCAUGGAGCAUCGGCCCUCUUGCUUAUAAUCGCCCCGCCGCACUCUGCCUGACGCCCCUCAAUCAUCUUCGGCUCCACAUUGAAGGUUUUGAGCCACAAACCAAAGUGAGGGGUAGUGCGGAGGAAGGCUUCGCAGACAACAAUAAAUGAUGAGAUAUGGAGGAUAGACUCCGGAGCUAGGUCGUGGAAUUCCAGCCCAUAGUAAAACAGGAGCCCCCUCACGAAGGGAUCCAUCGGGAAGCCUAAACCCCGACGGAGGUGAGGCACGAACACGACGCUCUCGCCAGGCUCAGGGGUAGGAAUGACUUGCCCUUGGGCAGGCAACCUAUGCGAAAUCUCGUAGGUUAAGUACCUGGCGUCCCUAAGCUUUAGCACGUCCUCUUCCGUGACGGAGGAGGGCAUCCACCGACCCUGAAGGUCAGAGCCGGACAUUGUCGAAGGUCCGAAGUACCUGAAUCUGGAGCCCUGGGUGUUGGAACUCGGGGCGAGGGGCGGAUUCGAUUGGGGAUUGAAGAAAAGGAACGGGCCUUGGUCUCAUUAUAAAGGGGGAGAAUACCAAGAGCCGUCUCCGUGACCGUUUAGAACCCGCCUUCAUGGAGGGGGCGUGGCAACGGGCGCGGUUGGGUUACCCACGCCCGUAUUGAUGAGAAUCCCGGAAUAAGGGGAACACGAUCUCUGCUUCGACAAGACGUGCCAAGGAAACCGCUUCGGUAAAUGCACUGAGGCGGUAUAAUAAAAACGAUUCAAGUAAAGGCUUGGUUGUGGUGUGACGCCACGCCAUGAAAUACGUCAGCCGAUUGAACUUGUGUGAAUAUUAUUCUCUCUACGGUGGAGUGUGGAAUUUAUUUUGUAGAACCGGACACUAUCCUGGUGUUCACAAUCUUCUACAAAUUAUUCGAAGAAGGAACCCGCCUUGCAAUGCCGAAGACAAUAUGCGCGCCGGACUCGUCGUCAUUGAAGCCUGGUUCAGGGGCUACUGAGGGAGUCUUGGACGGUGUCCGGAUAGCCGAACUAUCAUCAUCGGCCCGACUCCAAGACUAUGAAGAUAGAAGAUUGAAGACUUUGUCCCAUGUCCGGAUGGGACUUUCCUUGGCGUGGAAGGCAAGCUUGGCGAUGCGGAUAUGUAGAUCUCCUACCAUUGUAACUGACUCUGUGUAACCCUAGCCCUCUCCGGUGUCUAUAUAAACCGGAUGGUUUUAGUCCGUAGGACAAUGACAAUAACAACAAUCAUACCAUAGGCUAGCUUCUAGGGUUUAGCCUCCUUGAUCUCGUGGUAGAUCUACUCUUGUAAUACCCACAUCAUCAAUAUCAAUCAAGCAGGACGUAGGGUUUUACCUCCAUCAAGAGGGCCCGAACCUGGGUAAAACAUCGUGUCCCUUGUCUCCUGUUACCAUCCGCCUAGACGCACAGUUCGGGACCCCCUACCCGAGAUCCGCCGGUUUUGACACCGACAGAGAGCUUCAUUCGGCUGGCCGAGAAAAUGGCCUAUCAGCAAUGAGAAAUGGGCUGCACAUUUUUAAGACACAUCAAACCAGCAAUUAGUUUCAAAUAUCUUUUUUUCAUUUCGAGAUUUUAAAUUACAUUAAUUUUUAUGCGUGGAGAAUUUGUUGGAUUUUAUAUUGUUAUACAUUUAUUUUUAAAAUCAGUUUGAAUGUGAGUCGAAAUUUCGGGAUUAAAAACAGUUCGGACCGCACCGAAAUAUGCAAAAUUUCGUAUAAUUUUUUAACCGUGGCCACAAUAUGGGCUGUAAUGCUAACAAAAAGAAUAUGGGCUCCAAAAAAACCUUAAGAAUUAGCAAAUAGGCUGUAAAUUAUUAGAAAUAAUGGCAGAUGGGCUGUAUGCUGUUUUCCACAGAUUUGAGGCUUUCCUAAAAAAAGGUUAACGCACAAGCAGUGACUGUUGGAUGGCCAUCCAACGGCCGUCGUGCUUCUUCAAUCUCUGCUCUUCCUGCUCCAGUCGCUCAAACAAGCACCGGCGGGACUGCCUGCCUCCUCCUCCCCGCGGCCGGCCGUGCUGCCGCGCAGGCCUCACGGCCCCAUCGUACUCCAAUCGCUGGCCUAGCCAUCCCUCUACUCACCAACACCUGCUAUUAUUCUCCGGCGACGGCAGGCGAACCAGUAAACCCUCGUUCAGUCGUACUCCCCUCCGCGUGGGAAACAACUGCGGAGUCUUCCCUGCCUCCGUGUCAUUCCCUUCCUAGGCCUCACAGUCGUCCACCGCCCUGGUGCUCUCGGCGCGGCCUGGUCAACAUGGUCAACGACUGACAUGCAUCUGAAGUGGACUGUACGUGGAGAGGCCGACAGCUGGGUCCACGGCCGCACGCAAGGAAAUACCUCCUUAUUACGCACAAAAUAAUGAUUCCUCCACCUGACAUCGGGGACCCACCGAAAGAGCCUCAGUAUUUCCCAAAAAAAUGUUACCGCCGCUGACAGCUCGGACCCACCAGCUAUAUCUUCGCACGCAAGGAAGUGCCUCCUUAUUACGCACAAAAAAAUGAAUACUCCCCAUGUUAGCUGGGACCCAGUAUAGUGGCAGGCUGACUUGUGGGCCUACUAAGUUGACGGUGACGGAGGGCUUUGUCAACUUAGUCAAUAUGCACGAUUCUAGCUGCAGUGACCGUAUGAUGUCCAUUCAACGGCCGUAGUGCUUCUUCAACCUCUGGUCUUCCUGCUCCAGCCACCCAAACCAGCGCCAGUCGUGCCUCAUGCUCCUGCCUCCCGUGGCCGGCUGUGAUGCGGCGGAGGCCUCACCGUCCCCUACUACUCCCACCGCUGGCCAGGCCAUCCCUCUACUCACCCACACCCCCUGUUAUUCUGCAGCGACGGCAGCCUCGCACCGCAACGAACCAGUGAACCCUCGUACUCCUCUACGCGUGGGCAUCCACUGCCGCGUCUUCCCCGGCUCCGCGUCGUCCCCUUCCUAGGCCUUGCCGUCGUCCACCGCCCUGGUGCUCUCGGCACGGCGUGGUCAACAUGGUCAAGGAACGGCUUCCAUCGGACAUGGACUGUACGUGGAGAGGCUGACAGCUGGGUCCACGGCCGCAGCAAGGAAGUGCCUCCUUAUUACGCGUAAAAUAAUUAUUCCUCCACCUAACAGCGGGGACCCACCGGACGGGCCACCAUAUUUCAGGAAAAAAACGUAUCCCCCCUGACUGCUGGGACCCACCAGCUACACCUUUGAACGCAAGGAAGUGUGUCCGGGCAAAAAAAAAGAUUCGCCCCCCUGACUGCUGGGACCCACCAGCUACAUCUUCGCACGCAAGAAAGUGCCUGACAGUCGGGACCCACCUGGUCGAAGCAUACGUAGCUUGUCAUUCUGGUCGCGAAUGUGUACGUACAUACUGGUCGAUGUAGAGGCGCGCACGUGUCAUAGAUGUAGAGGCGCGCACGUGUCGUAGUAGAGGCGCGCAUGUAGCAUGACACGUACGUACAGCGGCGAGGGUGCAAGAAAAAAAAUACGACCACGUACGUACAUACGGGCAAGGUCUCGAACGCCUACUCGCGCAUACGUACAUGGCUGGGUCGGAACGGAGAAACAGCGUCAUCGUCGUGUUCAUGGGGAGCCAACCGGCUGGGUCGGAACAGAAUGCGUGGUCGUGUUCAUCGGGAGGGCUUGGACGGAACAGGCGAUGGAAACGAGGCCUGGCGUACCGCACAACGGAGGAAACGUCCUUGUGUUCGACCGGCCACGUUCGAAAUGGGGUCCUGUUGAUCGGGAGGGGCCUGGCGUACCGCAAAACGGAGGAAAUGGACCUCCUACGGUCGAAACGGGGGUCCUGUUGAUCGGGAGGGGUGUGGCGUACNNNNNNNNNNNNNNNNNNNNNNNNNNNNNNNNNNNNNNNNNNNNNNNNNNNNNNNNNNNNNNNNNNNNNNNNNNNNNNNNNNNNNNNNNNNNNNNNNNNNNNNNNNNNNNNNNNNNNNNNNNNNNNNNNNNNNNNNNNNNNNNNNNNNNNNNNNNNNNNNNNNNNNNNNNNNNNNNNNNNNNNNNNNNNNNNNNNNNNNNNNNNNNNNNNNNNNNNNNNNNNNNNNNNNNNNNNNNNNNNNNNNNNNNNNNNNNNNNNNNNNNNNNNNNNNNNNNNNNNNNNNNNNNNNNNNNNNNNNNNNNNNNNNNNNNGGCGUACUGCAAAACGGGACUCCACGGGGUACUGUUCAUCUCCACCGUCGACCUCCUCCAGCAUCCACGGGUUACCGUCGACCUCCUCUAGCCUCCACGGGCACCUCUUCAUCCAGCGUCCACCGCACGCUACUCCACCGGCUACUGUUCAACCACCCCUCCACAGGCACCCCUCCACCGUCUACUGUUCAUCCAGCCCUCCACACCACGGGGUCCUGUUCAACCACCCCUCCAUGGCCACCCCUCCACCGUCUACUGUUCAUCCAGCCCUCCACACAACGGGUUUCUGUUCAUCCGAAGGCAACGCCACCGCUCACUAUUCAUCCACCCCCCGCAACGCUCACUGUUCAUCCCAAAGGCAGCAUCGAUCGGCUUCAGUUAGCAGCAGUAGCGAAGGAAUCGCUCCAUCGGGUUCAGUUAACAGCCAUCGAUCGAUCGCUCGGGUUCAGUAACGCGUAGCCUGCAGUGCAAUGGGUUUAGUUAGAACCCAACCCCUCGCUCGGCUUCAGUUAGAGCCAACGCCUCGCACACACGCGCGUACGUACGAGAGAAACGCGCAUCGCUCCGCCCCCGACCUCCCAUCGUAACCGGCAACUCCCCGAAAUUUUCCUCCCCCUCGCUUCUACCACGGUUUUUUCCGUCAUGGACGGCCCAAAGAAUGUCAUGCAGUUGCGUCUCUGGCCCGCCCAGGAUGAAAAGCCCAUUUUCUGUCAUGAUUUUUUGUCAUAGAAGUAGGAGCCCACCACAUCUAUGAUGAUACCGGGUUUUGUCACAAUUAUCGUCAUAGAAGUGUCAUAUGUAUGACAGAAAAAAAAUUCAUUCGGCCCAAAAUGUCAGGGAUGUGUAUUUUUUUUGUAGUGAUACCUUGAUAAGAUUUUGAAGUAGUUCAAAAUGGAACAGUCAAAGAAAGAGUUCUUGCCUGUGUUGCAACGUGUGAAAUUGAAUAAGACUCAAAGCCUGACCACGGCAGAAGAUAGAAAGAGAAUGAAAGUCAUUCCCUAUGCCUCAACCAUAGGUUCUAUAAAGUAUGCCAUGCUGUGUACCAGAUCUAUUGUAUACCUUACACUGAUUUUGGCAAGGGAGUACAAUAAUGAUCUAGGAGUAGAUCACCGGACAGCGGUCAAAAUUAUCCUUAGUGAAAUAAGGAUAUGUUUCUCGAUUAUGGAGGUGACAAAAAGGUUCAUCGUAAAGGGUUACAUCGAUGCAAGUUUUGACACUGAUCCAGAUGACUCUAAGUCUCAAUCUGGAUACAUAUUGAAAGUGGGAGCAAUCAGCUAGAGUAGCUCCGUGCAAGAGCAUUGUUGACAUAGAAAUUUGCAAAAUGCAUACGGAUUUCAAUGUGGCAGACCCGUUGACUAAACUUCUCUCACAAGCAAAACAUGAUCACACCUUAGUACUCUUUGGGUGUUAAUCACAUAGCGAUGUGAACUAGCUUAUUGACUCUAGUAAACCCUUUGGGUGUUAAUCACAUGGUUAUGUGAACUAUUGGUGUUAAAUCACAUGGUGAUGUGAACUAGAUUAUUGACUCUAGUGCAAGUGGGAGACCGAAGGAAAUAUGCCCUAGAGGCAAUAAUAAAGUUAUUAUUUAUUUCCUUAUAUCAUGAUAAAUGUUUAUUAUUCAUGCUAGAAUUGUAUUAACCGGAAACAUAAUACAUGUGUGAAUAUAUAGACAAACAUAGUGCCACUAGUAUGCCUCUACUUGACUAGCUCGUUAAUCAAAGAUGGUUAAGUUUCCUAACCAUAACAUGAGUUUUCAUUUGAUUAACGGGAUCACAUCAUUAGGAGAAUGAUGUGAUUGAUUUGACCCAUUCUGUUAGCUUAGAACUUGAUCAUUUAGUAUGUUGUUAUUGCUUUCUUCAUGACUUAUACAUGUUCCUAUGACUAUGAGAUUAUGCAACUCCCGUUUACCGGAGGAACACUUUGUGUGCUACCAAAGUCAAAACGUAACUGGGUGAUUAUAAAGGUGCUCUAUAGGUAUCUCCGAAGGUACUUGUUGGGUUGGCGUAUUUCGAGAUUAGGAUUUGUCACUCCGAUUGUCGGAGAGGUAUCUCUGGGCCCACUCGGUAAUGCACAUCACUAUAAGCCUUGCAAGCAUUGCAAUUAAUGAGUUAGUUGUGGGAUGAUGUAUUACGGCACGAGUAAAGAGACUUGCUGGUAACAAGAUUAAACUAGGUAUUGAGAUACCGACAAUCGAAUCUCGGGCAAGUAACAUACCGAUGACAAUGGGAACAACGUAUGUUGUUAUGCGGUUUGACCGAUAAAAAUCUUCGUAGAAUAUGUGGGAGCCAAUAUGAGCAUCCAGGUUCCGCUAUUGGUUAUUGACCGGAGACGUGUCUUGGUCAUGUCUACAUAGUUCUCGAACCCGUAGGGUCCGCACGCUUAAAGUUUGAUGAAGGUUAUAUUACGAGUUUAUGUGUUUUGAUGUACCGAAGGAGUUCGGAGUCCCGGAUGAGAUCGAGGACAUGACGAGGAGUCUCGAAAUGGUCGAGACGUAAAGAUCGAUAUAUUUGACGACUAUAUUCGGACAUCGGAAAGGUUCCUAGUGAUUCGGGUAUUUUUCGGAGUACCGAAGAGUUACGGGAAUUCGUAUUGGGCCUUAAUGGGCCAUACGGGAAAGGAGAGAAAUGCCCCAAAGGGUGGCCGCACCCCUCUCCAUGGACUAGUCUGAAUUGGACUAGGGAGGGGGGGCGCCCCCUUCCUUCCUUCUCCUUCUCCCUUCCCUUCUUCUACUCCAACAAGGAAAUUAAGGAGGAGUCCUAAUCCCGGUGGGAGUAGGACUCCUCCCUUGGCGCGCCCUCCUCCUAGGCCGGCCGCCUCCCCCCUUGAUCCUUUAUAUACGGGGGCAGGGGGGCACCUCUAGACACAACAAUUGAUCUCUUGGAUCUCUUAGCCGUGUGCGGUUCCCCCCUCCACCAUAAUCCACCUCGAUAAUAUCGUAGCGGUGCUUAGGCGAAGCCCUGCAUCGGUAGAACAUCAUCAUCGUCACCACGCCGUCGUGCUGAUGAAACUCUCCCUCAAAGCUCGGCCGGAUCGGAGUUCGAGGAACGUCAUCGAGCUGAACGUGUGCUGAACUCGGAGAUGCCGUGCGUUCGGUACUUGAUCGGUCGGAUCGUGAAGACGUACGACUACAUCAACUGUGUUGUGCUAACGCUUCCGCUUUCGGUCUAUGAUGGUACGUGGACACACUCUCCCCUCUUGUUGCUAUGCAUCACCAUGAUCUUGCGUGUGCGUAGGAUUUUUUUUUUUGAAAUACUACGUUCCCCAACAACAUUGAUGCUAGACUGGAAAUUUUGCCAGUCUAAUGUCGAUUAUGAUAUUAAUGUAACAUGUGGCGUAUGAUUAUAUUUCUGACCAAACAUUGUUUGUAAUAACGUGUCACACUACAUUAAGUUCUUCUCCGCCAUCCGCUCUAUAGUGAUGCAAAUCUAUAUAUGUUAUAAAGACAAUCCCCACUAGCGGAAAUCCAGACAAUCCCCACUUACGUUCUACGCUAAGGGAAAACUCGAAAGGUUAAAGGUUUGUAGCCAAAAUGCUCAUAGUAAAGAGAGAGGAGAUCUGUUGUGAUGACAUAUUUUAUCUAUGGAAUUGUCAUGAUGCUCAUGUCAUGUUUUUAUGUUGGCUUAAAGAAUGUUUUACGUGGCUCAGCUAGAAGGUUUUGUCAUGAAAGAAAGGUAACAUAAGGCAUGUUGUCUAAAUAAUUCAUUUUAUGAAUUAAGUUAAACAUUUAUACAAUGGUACCUUUAAGUCUGGGGGAGUAAGUUCACUACAUUAUGUAGAUGAAAACUCACUCGCUAAACCAAGAAUUUUGUAUCUCCCAAUAGUGACAUAUAGCAUCUUAGUGUUUUUCCAUGCAUUAAAUGUAUGGAGAAUCACCGGGGGACAUAAGUCCAAGAGGAUUACAUGUCGUAUUAUGAUGGAAUACAUCGAUGGAGCCCAAAAGGAACACAUUGUGCAUUAGUGCAAUAUCUCAGUCGCUCAUAAAGUCGAGGGCAAUAAAGUUGGACAUUUAAGUGUAUGAGGAACCAUUUAAACUGAUCAGAUAAUGUCAGUUUCUUAUGCUUCAGCUAUCAGAAGCGUCAUGUAUUAAAGUAUCACCACGUCCUCUUAUUUACGAUCAGGAUAUUUGGUAAAAAAAUGUGUUUAUUCCAGAACUAGACCAUUGGAGAGCCGAUAUCAAGUUUUUGCAGUAUAUGCAAGGCAAUAAAGAUAACAUGCUCACUCCGAACGAAUUUGAUAACCUCAAAUUUGUGGGUUAAUCAGACAUUGGUUUGGCAAGAUGUGUAGAUAUGAGGACUUUCAUGUAAAGUUACAUCUACACUGUUGCAUGAGGAGAUUCGUGAGGAGUUCAUAAAGGAAAAUCAUGAAAUAAUCAAUGAUGCAAACGAAUUCAUGGCAUGUUAAGAGGCUAUCGGGCACGUUGUAUGUGAAAGGAAUCUUAUUGCUGAAAUGGUAGUGGUACUGUGGUAGACAACAUACUUAAUCAACUUACUUCGAUCAUGAACAUGUAGUUCUCUAUGCGAGUAACAACUAGUCAAUUGGUAUUGCCAAAACCACUGACUUUAUGUCAUUGUUGUGAAAUAUAGAGUUCAUGAUCAAACAUACGAUGUUUGAUUUGUAAGUUUUUGAGGUUCCUCUAAGCAAGGCUUAGCAUUUACCCUUUUAUGAUAAGGUUGUCGGCAUGGGUUAGGGAAGCUUUUUGAUCCUGGAAAUUUAGGACCAUCAAAUAAACCAACUCCCAUAAAGUAUUAUGUAUUCCAUUUUGAGGUAGAUGAUAUACUAUAAGUAUUGAGGUUAAGCGACACUUCAUCCCUAGAUCGCCAUUGUUACUGAUUUCAGAUAAAAGAAAGUCCCUUUUUGACAUAUAUCUGUAUAUUGUAUACACGAAUAUAGGAUCCGCUAUACCCUAGAAAAAUCUUUUCCAAUACUGGAAUAGACAGAUUUAGUAGAGAACAACUUGUUACCAUUGACCAGUCAACUAAGAAUCCAGACGGUGCUUGGAGGGGAUAUCAAUUUGGAGAUGGAAAACAUCAGGAACAAUAUCUAGGCAACUCUUUACUUCCCUACAAAAAAAGAGUGUACGAGUAGACAAAUGGAUACCACCGAGCAGCUCAAUAUCUAGGCAAGCUUGCGAAAAAUGUCAAGUUGCAGUUAACCAGCUUGGGAUAAGAACAACCGUCACUCUGAAAACUACAUCUGCCAUCCCCUUCACGACACCUACGUUUUUCACAGCCUCUCACGGCUAAAACCGACGCUUCCCACGUGAACGGGCGCUACGUUUACGUCUGCGUCCCCAGUGAAAUUAUCAGCGACGAGCGCCAACUGCCAAGUGGAGUGAGCACUGAGCAGACAGACAGACACACCCGUGAUCUGAAGAAAUCCGAGGAAAAACCCACGGCCACGAGAAAAUCCACGGCACCCAAUCGCCAACCCCCACGGCGAUCCCGAGCCGCAGCCACACCUGUUCCCUCCACCCUGAGGCUCUCGCCGCGCCACCUCGCCCGCGAUAUCCACCCCGCCAAUGGCGUCCGAGCUCCAGAUUUUUCUGGCCCCCGCACGUCUCAUCCCCUUCCCCUUCCUCCCGCCGGGUUAAAUAGCCGCCUCCGCCGCUCCUCUCAAACCAUCCCGCCAUACACCACCACAGCCCCACUCCUAGAGAGCACGCACAUCGGACACGCACGAAGUCUCCUCGACCAGCGAGCAAUGGCGACCACCGCGAUGGCGCUCUCCCCCUCCUCCUUCGCCGGGAAGGCGGUGAAGGACCUGCCGUCGUCGGCGCUCUUCGGGGAGGCGCGCGUCACCAUGCGCAAGACCGCGGCCAAGGCCAAGCCGGUGUCGUCGGGCAGCCCGUGGUACGGCUCCGACCGCGUGCUCUACCUCGGCCCGCUAUCCGGCGACCCCCCGAGCUACCUCACCGGUGAGUUCCCCGGCGACUACGGAUGGGACACCGCGGGGCUCUCGGCCGACCCCGAGACCUUCGCCAAGAACCGGGAGCUGGAGGUGAUCCACUGCCGGUGGGCCAUGCUGGGCGCGCUCGGCUGCGUCUUCCCGGAGCUGCUCGCCCGCAACGGCGUCAAGUUCGGCGAGGCCGUGUGGUUCAAGGCCGGCUCCCAGAUCUUCAGCGAGGGCGGCCUCGACUACCUCGGCAACCCCAGCCUCGUCCAUGCGCAGAGCAUCCUCGCCAUCUGGGCCUGCCAGGUCGUGCUCAUGGGCGCCGUCGAGGGCUACCGCGUCGCCGGCGGCCCGCUCGGCGAGAUCGUCGACCCGCUCUACCCCGGCGGCAGCUUCGACCCCCUGGGCCUCGCUGACGACCCCGAGGCGUUCGCGGAGCUCAAGGUGAAGGAGAUCAAGAACGGCCGCCUCGCCAUGUUCUCCAUGUUCGGCUUCUUCGUGCAGGCCAUCGUCACCGGCAAGGGCCCUCUCGAGAACCUCGCCGACCACCUUGCCGACCCCGUCAACAACAACGCCUGGGCCUUUGCCACCAACUUCGUGCCCGGCAAGUAAGCUGCUAGGUGUUGUGUUAUGUCUGGAAACCGACCGUGCACGUACGUACGUACGCGAUCAAGUGUGCGCAUGCAUGCGUGCAUGCAGCUGGGUUUCGUUUGUACUACAACCAUGCAUGAUGUAAAGUACGAAGGUUGAAUGCAAAAGGCUGUUGUUAGACAUGAUGAUCUCUUAGGAUCAACCUGAGCAUGCAAUCACCUGUGUUAAUUAACCGGUAGUUGAUCUUGCAAUCGAUCGGCUUUCAGUUUCUUAGUUCAGUGGAUGCUUAUCAUACAGUGGCCGGCAGUGGAUCUUUACAGCAGUAAAAGUAGAUGUCUUUGGCG